AAACAAUGCCAUGCAAAACACAAAACAGGUUAGAGUAAACAGAAAAAGGGCAACUGCUGUCACGCUCGCUACUGCUUCGCCUAGCGAAGGCUUAACGAGGCUUCGCUGCAAGCUCGCCUAGCAAAGGUUCUAGCGAGCGCCUGCGGGUUCUGGAUUUCCCAUUGAUAACAGUACGAUUUUAGGGACUCCAAACCCUAUGGCAUCCAUCUCAGAAAUUAAGUGAUCAAAACAUUCAAGGUAU
This 241-nucleotide long non-coding RNA is filed under the name Lathyrus oleraceus (garden pea). RNAcentral's name for it is "Pisum sativum (pea) long non-coding RNA (PSAT_LNC025148)". Lineage: Eukaryota; Viridiplantae; Streptophyta; Magnoliopsida; Fabales; Fabaceae. The record is from RNAcentral.